UUGUCCUGGGCAGGCCCCAGCCAGGUGUGAGUGCCCCAGCCCAACUCAGUGGUCUCCAUGCUGCAGCAGAGGAACACCGAACAACUGGAUGUUGUGAAUGUUUCUCACCUGGCCUUAAAAAAAAAAAAGCAUGAAAGCUGAAAAUGCCAAGGCAUCUGUGCACAUGCCGGCGGAUUUUAAUGAGAGUCCUGUGCUUGGAGCACCAGAAAUAAACCAGCUUCACAAGCAAAGUAACAAAAGGCCUUAGAUGAUGACACUGGCCAUGGGUAUUACUACGUGUAGGUGGUAAGUGGAUGAUCCUGGGACACCUGUCCUGCACACUGUCCACCCUGACUCAGCUACUUCUGCAAUUGUGCCUGAAUAACUGGAAAACUUCUAAGGGGAGAAGUGGCUGGGCCCUCCAGGGGGACAAUCCCUCCCUAACUCCAUGUGAUCUUGGUGGUGCUCUCUACCACGGUUCCAUCCUCGCUCCCACGGGGAUCAGGGGACGAGGAAACCAACAGGGCCGGGCCAAUGAGAGUCCCCUGAUCACAGUUCCUGGUUCAAAGAUGGCCACAUGCCUGAGCAGCUUUGAAACCACAAGGAUGUCAUUUCCUCCUAAGAACGAAGUUAACAGGUGGAAGAAGCAGAGCUAGAGAUGGAAUGAGACCCAGCCACCCUGGGCUCCAGUGACAUCAGCCGGAUCUGAACGUCUGUGACACUCUUUGGAGCUGACACAGUGAAGAACAUGGAAUAAGAACCAGGCCAAAGGCCUGGAAGGAGAACUCACCCAGUCUGCCAGGGUCACAGAUGAUUGUGCUCAAGAUGUUCCUGGGGAGUCAAUGGCAAAUUUCACUGUGCUGUUUUACAGAUGAAGGAGGAAUAUAAGGAAGGUUCCAGGACCUUGAAGUCCAUGGAACUCCCACGACUGCCUGAUCUCUGGAGCUUGUCAUUUGGCCAACAACAGGGAUAUGGGAACAGAAGGCAGGAGCCUGGCUCACUUGGGCAGUCAGCUUCUGCCUCUUUCCCUGCUGUCUCCAGCCACCAAGAAUGUCCUACAGUUCCCCCAAGAUGAACCCCCCAUUACCUUUCAGGUCACUCUGUUUCCCCUGAUCUUUGUCAAAUUCCUGACUCAGAGCUCCUCCCAUUGGCUUCUGACUCUCAUUUUAUUCUUAGUGUUAACCAUUUCUGUUCUCAUUCUCCCUUUUAUGAGUGCUGAGACCAGAGCGCGAGGCAACUGCUCAGUGCUGGUCGUCACUGACACUGUUAUUAAAUAACUUCAUAAGGGAAUGGUUGGUUUCUACUUUUUUUUUUUUUUAAACUUGAUUCAAUACUGCACAAUGCUGUGGAGUACAAGAAUAUAAGGUAAACCUUAACCUUAGAUUAUGGAAAUUUUCAGGCAUAAUAUCAAGGAUAUUGAAGACACUUAACUAAAAUUAGUGUGUGGCUAUGCCAUAUCAUCAUUGAAAUGGGAAGCCAGGAGCAGUGAGAAAUUCUGUCAGAUGCACGCCCGGCCCUCUGUUUAUCAGCCAGUCUGCCCCUCCCUGGGGAGACACUGGCCCAAUCUCUAGGAUUGACCCAAGCGCAUCCCCAACCCCGCUUCCUUUGCAAGCUACAGCUAUGGGCUCUCACUUACUGGGAUCCUCUCCUCACUAGGGUAAAGGCGCACCUUUGGUUGGAUAAAGCUGGAGACGUUACUUAUCUUUCUUGGAUGGAAGAGAUGGUUUAGACUUUGACUAAGGAAGCUGAAGUGGGAGAGCUGGCCUAGUGCCCCCCGGAGGGUCAGGUGCCCGGUUAGGGUGCAAUUGGGGAGGGGAGUCAGCACAGGCCUCAAGUCUACCGCAGCUGACAGCAGGGUUCCGGGAGUGAAUGACUGGUUCCUCACUGCACCCAGCUGUAAGGGUACCUUCCGGCAAUAGCCCUGAACACCAGGAGCAGAUCCCACCCAGGCCUUCCCGUGAGUGCCCGGACUCCCCUUCUCACCUGA
Molecule: long non-coding RNA, 1966 nt
Organism: Cebus imitator (Panamanian white-faced capuchin)
Lineage: Eukaryota; Metazoa; Chordata; Mammalia; Primates; Cebidae
Exons: 4
Source: RefSeq, a predicted model, not a curated record